This is an RNA transcript of Hevea brasiliensis (rubber tree), 2677 nucleotides long. It is a transcript of the gene named protein kinase and PP2C-like domain-containing protein, with no coding region annotated. The transcript is spliced from 12 exons. The record is from RefSeq and is a predicted model, not a curated record. Lineage: Eukaryota; Viridiplantae; Streptophyta; Magnoliopsida; Malpighiales; Euphorbiaceae.
CAAUAAACUCCGCUCUCUCCCUUCGCCAGUUCGCUGACAGGACACCAGAUCUGAAGGCCUCGACUGAACAGGAAAAGCCAAGAAAAGAAGCUUCCUGGAGAUGAAAACCGAAAAAUGAAACUCGCAUCCAAAAAACUGGAAUAAAAUAAAUUCGCAUCCGUUCUUCGUUCACUUCUCUACGAACGCUUUCUAGCAUUGCAUCGACUAGCGAUGCCAACUACUUCCACUCUUCAAAACAGCGUGUAGAGAGCGAGAACGAGAGAUUGCACGAUGGGGCUGGAGAUUGUGGAGCCAAACACAUGCAUAAGAGGUUGCUGCAGCAGCAAUUCCAUUCCUCUUCACCUUCCUGCGUCUUCUUACGCUCUCCUCUCUCCAAUUGCCAGAGGGGCGGAGAGUGUAGUAUAUGAAGGAAUUUUGGAUGGAAGGAAAGUUGCUGUGAAGAAACUCUUCUUGUCUACUUCUGAGGACAUUGAUAAGUUCCAUAAGGAGCUGCAACUCAUAUGCAUAACUUCCUAUUCAACAACAGUGUCGCUGGAUCAUCUGGGAAUAGCCAAGCUGGUUGCAGCUCAUGCAAAGCCUCCCAGUUACCUAUUCUUUUUCAAAUUCUAUGAAUCUGGCAAUCUUGUGGGGAAAUUACAUGCAGAAGAAUGGAGUCCGAGUAUUGAUCAGGUGCUCAUGAUCACUGUUCAGCUGGCGAAGGCUUUGCAGUAUCUGCAUGACCAUGGGAUUGUACAUGGGGAUGUGAAACCAGCAAAUGUUCUUCUCAACAGAAACCUUUGUCCACACCUAUCAGACUUUGGUCUGGCAGAAUACAGGGGGAAUCUUACAGGAGUUUCUGUUGAGAGUUGGAGAUCAUCAGGAAAGCCAACUGGUGGUUUCCACAAAAAGAACAUGGUUGGUAUACUCAUUUAUAUGGCACCUGAAAUAUUGAGAAAGGAGGUGCAUGCUGAAAAAUCUGAUGUCUACAGUUUUGGGAUAUCAAUCAAUGAGCUUCGUACUCGUGUUGUCCCAUAUACUGAUCUUUGUACUGAAGCUGAAGCUCAUACUGUAUUGGAGAUGAACUAUACUGAGCAGCAACUUACUGCAGCAGUGGUGUCUAGUAAAUUGUGAGCUGUUCUUGGUGGUCCUGAGUCGGGCGUCCACAAGUAUGCUAGCAUUGAUACAGAGAUGUUGGGAUGAAAAUCCUCAAAAUAGGCCUUCUUUUAGUGAUAUCAUUUUCGAAAUUUGUCCAAUUUUGGGGCACAGAAAAAAAUCAAUGGAAGAAAAUUUCGCCCCUGGAGCAUCUUCUGUUUUAGAGAUUGAGCAUUUCAUUGAUGGUGCCAACAACCUUCGAACAUUUCAUGAGAGUGUUAACUGGUCCACUCAGGGAAAACAAUUAUCAAAGAAAGCUUCCUUAGCUGUUAAUUCACGUACGAAUAAUUGGCUUGAUUCUUUGAAUGAACCCUUGGCUUAUCAUCUGGUACUUUCUUGGGGAUCCUUUGCUACAUGUGGGAGAAGGGAAAUCAUGGAGGAUGCACACUUCCUUAUGCCCCACAUGUGCAAUGAAAAGGUUAUCCAUGUUUUUGGCAUCUUUGAUGGUCAUAGAGGUGCAGCGGCUGCUGAGUUUUCAGUUCAGGCUUUGCCAGGAUUUCCGCAGAGUUUAGCUUCUAUAAGAGGUCCCAUCGAUGCAUUAUUUGAAGCAUUUGUUAGUACCGAUGCUGCAUUUCGAAAUGAAAUCAAUUCUCAUCGUAAAUCUAGGGGAGUUGUUCAGAAAGACUGGCAUCCUGGCUGCACUGCUGUUGCAGCUUUAAUAGUUAGAAACAAGCUUUUUGUUGCUAAUGUUGGUGAUUGCAGGACAAUUUUGUGUUGUGCCGGCCACGCCUAUCCUUUAAGUAUGGAUCACGUUGCAAGUUGUCUUCAGGAAAGGGAGCACGCUAUUAGUGCAGGGGGACAGGUUAAAUGGCAAGUUGAUACUGGGAGGGUUGGUCCUGCUGCACUCUAGGUCACUCGCUCCAUUGGUGGUGACAAUUUGAAGCCUGCUGUAACUGCAGAACCUGAGAUAACUGAAACUACUCUGUCAGCAGCAGAGGAUGAAUUUUUGGUGAUGGCUAGUGAUGGACUUUGGGAUGUCGUGAGCAAUGCAGAGGUCAUAAGCAUAAUCAGGGACACAGUGAAAGAACCUGGAAUGUGCUCCAAGCGAUUGGCAACAAAAGCUGCAGAGAGAGUUAGCAAAGAUAAUAUUACAGUGGUUUGUCAUCUUCUUGCACCCGGUAUCUACUGCAGAGAGAAUUUACUAGGUCAAAUGCAAAUGCAAGUUGUAAGAGUUGUAAAUUGGUGGAGAAAAGGGAGUCCAACUGGAUGAGACUCAUUCUUGUUUCAUUCAUGUAAUUUUUACUUACUCUUAUGAUCAUUAGUUUUAGGCAUUCAUGCUGUGAGUAUUGUCGUAUUAUUACAUCUCAGAGAUUCCAUGGUUGAAACUUAUUAAGUGUACCUCAUGAAUAUGAGUCUUUCAAUUGUGUAAUUGUAAUUUCAUUUCUUAUGCCAGUCUUCUAGACCACUGAACAUGGAAAUGGGCCACUAUCCCUAAUUUGGCAUAAUCUUUCCACCUUUAUCCUAGUUCCUGCUAGGUGUUAUUGUUUGUAGAAUUGGGCUUGUAUCAUUUUCUUUGAAAUUGAAAAUGAAAUGCAGUUCUUAUAAA